RNAcentral lists this ribosomal RNA (441 nucleotides) under uncultured bacterium. RNAcentral's name for it is "partial 16S ribosomal RNA". It matches the Rfam family "Bacterial small subunit ribosomal RNA", at positions 338 to 795 of the family's 1533-position model. The record is from RNAcentral.
CCUACGGGAGGCAGCAGUGGGGAAUAUUGCACAAUGGGGGAAACCCUGAUGCAGCGACGCCGCGUGAGUGAAGAAGUAUUUCGGUAUGUAAAGCUCUAUCAGCAGGGAAGAAAAUGACGGUACCUGACUAAGAAUCCCCGGCUAACUACGGGACAGCAGCCGCGGUAAUACGUAGGGGGCAAGCGUUCUCCGGAUUUACUGGGUGUAAAGGGAGCGUAGGUGGCAUGGUAAGCCAGAAGUGAAAACCCCGGGCUCAACUCUGUGGAUUGCGUUUGGAACUAUCAAGCUAGAGUGCUGGAGGGGUAAGCGGAAUUCCUGGUGCAGCGGUGAAAUGCGUAGAUAUUAGGAGGAACACCGGUGGCGAAGGCGACUUACUGGACAGAAACUGACACUGAGGCUCGAAAGCGUGGGGAGCAAACAGGAUUAGAUACCCUGGUAGUC